This 21-nucleotide non-coding RNA is filed under the name Arabidopsis thaliana (thale cress). The record is from RNAcentral. Lineage: Eukaryota; Viridiplantae; Streptophyta; Magnoliopsida; Brassicales; Brassicaceae.
AGCAAAAGAUAUUAUGGCGAC